GAGGAGUUGCCAAGUGCGAAGCACUUUUUAUAUGGCAACGACGAAUUGCCGCCGAAUGAAAUGAGGGGGCGUUACCUUA
Molecule: small RNA, 79 nt
Filed under: bovine gut metagenome
Description: GA-cis RNA
Rfam family: GA-cis RNA
Source: RNAcentral